GACAGAGGAUGCAAGCGUUAUCCGGAAUGAUUGGGCGUAAAGCGUCUGUAGGUGGCUUUUUAAGUCCGCCGUCAAAUCCCAGGGCUCAACCCUGGACAGGCGGUGGAAACUACCAAGCUGGAGUACGGUAGGGGCAGAGGGAAUUUCCGGUGGAGCGGUGAAAUGCGUAGAUAUUGGGAGGAACACCAGUGGCGAAAGCGGCCGUCUGGGACAUUCCUGACACUGAGGUUCGAAAGCUCGGGGAGCAAACGAGGAUUAGAUACCCG
This 266-nucleotide ribosomal RNA is filed under the name uncultured bacterium. RNAcentral describes it as "partial 16S ribosomal RNA". It matches the Rfam family "Bacterial small subunit ribosomal RNA", at positions 524 to 789 of the family's 1533-position model. The record is from RNAcentral.